Molecule: ribosomal RNA, 276 nt
Filed under: Chalarus sp. A
Lineage: Eukaryota; Metazoa; Arthropoda; Insecta; Diptera; Pipunculidae
Description: partial 12S ribosomal RNA
Source: RNAcentral
UAUCAAAUCCACUUUUAAUAAAAUAUUUAAAUUUCAUAUCCAUUUAAAUUAAUUUAUUGUAACCCAUAAAAACUUAAAUAUAAACUACACCUUUAUCUGAUAUAAAUUUUAAUAAAAAUUAAAGAAAAUUUAUUAAUUUUUUAAAAAUAUUCUUAUAACGACGAUAUAUAAGCUGAAAAACAAAUUUAAGAAAGGUGCAACGUGGAUUAUCGAUUAAUUUACAGGUUCCUCUGAAUAAACUAAAAUACCGCCAAAUUUUUUAAGUUUCAAGAUCAU